UCUCUUGGGACAGGUAGUGCGGCAGUGUUGGGCUACCCUGAAGCUGGCAUUUGGAGAGAACACAAAGAGAUGCCUGAGGAUUCCAGCUGCUCUAGUGUUCCCAGUCCAGGGUCCAGACAUCCAUGGGCUAACUGCAGAUGAUUCCAUCCCCCGCCUGCCAGCCCCCUGCUGAUGCUGAAUGGAGCUGAGUGGAGCAGAGAGGAGCUGUCUCCACUGGGCCCUGGCCAGACUGUAGAUUCAUGAGCCAAACAAACAGGGCCAGUUGCUUUAGGACACAAAGUGUUGGAGUGGUUGGCUAUGCAGCAGCAGAUAACUAGAUCAACUGCCAUAUCUGUGUGGAGGACACUGAAUGAAAAUGGCAAACCCCAUCUUUCCAAAGGGUAAAAGAAUGAGAACUACCAGUUCAAACAGUAUGGCUUCUUUAAGCCAUACUGUGUUUCACCCCAAAAGAAGCAAGCAGCAUCCCUGAAAAUUGAAUUCGAUUUUAGAAUUCAAGUACAUUUUUCCACCAACCAACAAUGCUGCUGAGUGAAUAUGCUUAUAAAU
This 546-nucleotide long non-coding RNA is filed under the name Marmota monax (woodchuck). The record is from RNAcentral. Lineage: Eukaryota; Metazoa; Chordata; Mammalia; Rodentia; Sciuridae.